AGCCGCAAGGCGGUCACCUUCAUACCUCCCUGUUGGACUUCGGCCGAGCUUAGUGCUCGGCCUUUUUU
Non-coding RNA from Roseovarius mucosus DSM 17069, 68 nucleotides. NCBI's taxonomy places the organism in Bacteria, Pseudomonadati, Pseudomonadota, Alphaproteobacteria, Rhodobacterales, Roseobacteraceae. The record is from Rfam.